CCAACGACCACCCAGGGCCGGAAAGUUGGUCAAACCCGGUCAUUUAGAGGAAGUAAAAGUCGUAACAAGGUCUCCGUAGGUGAACCUGCGGAGGGAUCAUUACAAGUGACCCCGGUCUAACCACCGGGAUGUUCAUAACCCUUUGUUGUCCGACUCUGUUGCCUCCGGGGCGACCCUGCCUUCGGGCGGGGGCUCCGGGUGGACACUUCAAACUCUUGCGUAACUUUGCAGUCUGAGUAAACUUAAUUAAUAAAUUAAAACUUUUAACAACGGAUCUCUUGGUUCUGGCAUCGAUGAAGAACGCAGCGAAAUGCGAUAAGUAAUGUGAAUUGCAGAAUUCAGUGAAUCAUCGAAUCUUUGAACGCACAUUGCCCCCCCUGGUAUUCCGGGGGGCAUGCCUGUUCGAGCGUCAUUUCACCACUCAAGCCUCGCUUGGUAUUGGGCAACGCGGUCCCCCGCGUGCCUCAAAUCGACCGGCUGGGUCUUCUGUCCCCUAAGCGUUGUGGAAACUAUUCGCUAAAGGGUGCUCGGGAGGCUACCCCGUAAAACAAACCCAUUUCUAAGGUUGACCUCGGAUCAGGUAGGGAUACCCGCUGAACUUAAGCAUAUCAAUAAC
RNAcentral lists this ribosomal RNA (616 nucleotides) under Cladosporium oxysporum. RNAcentral's name for it is "eukaryotic LSU rRNA". The stretch from base 259 to 412 matches the Rfam family "5.8S ribosomal RNA". Lineage: Eukaryota; Fungi; Ascomycota; Dothideomycetes; Cladosporiales; Cladosporiaceae. The record is from RNAcentral.